This 1248-nucleotide ribosomal RNA is filed under the name Triticum aestivum (bread wheat). RNAcentral describes it as "partial small subunit ribosomal RNA". The record is from RNAcentral. Lineage: Eukaryota; Viridiplantae; Streptophyta; Magnoliopsida; Poales; Poaceae.
AUGCCGCGGAGGCUCGUCAGGUACACAACCACCCGCCUCGCGCUCUCCGGCGGGGGCGGGGGCGGCGGGGGAUUCUUUUGUGACCUGCUGUCGAUCCUUCCCUGGAGCACGUCGAGCCGCGCCCGCACGACGCCGGCGAACACCUGGAUUUCCUCCUUCUUGACGAUGGCUCCGCCGUCGCUCGCGACGUCAGCGAACACCUGGAUUUCCUCCUUCUUGACGAUGGCUCCGCCGAACACCUGGAUUUCCUCCUUCUUGACGACGGCCCCUCCGUCGCUCGCGACGUCGGCGAGCACCUGGAUUUCCUCCUUCUUGACGACGGCUCCUCCGUCGCUCGCGACGUCGUCGAGCACCUGGAUUUCCUCCUUUUUGACGACGGCUCCUCCGUCGCUCACGACGUCGGCGUCCGGGUGUGGGGGCGACAGCUCGGCGAGCGCCUCCCGGAACGCGGACAGGACGUCGGGGUCGAACUCGGGCGAUCCGCACGCCGACGGAACCUGCCCGUCCAGGCAAUCAUCGUAUUCUUCGUCCUCCGCACCGUCGUCGUCGAGCCCGUCCAUGAGCUCCCACACGUUGAUCUCCUCGGGGUCGCGCGCGGGCGUCUUGGUGGGCGUCCGCGGGGGCGCCAGCCUCUGCCGCUUCACCGGCUGGCCCGGCUCCACCUUGGGCGACGCCGGGAACCACCCGGCGAAGGACCGGCACCUCCCCGACACGCCCUCCUUCCCGGGCCUCGCAGUCGUCGCCGUCGCCCCCGCCCCCUCCCCUCCGGCGAAAGAAACCGCCGCGGCGGCCGUGGCGCGGUCGAGGCUGAGCGUGCCGAGCGUGGACGACCUGAGCGCGACGGAGUGGCGCGCCACGAGCCCCGACGCGCACUUCCGCGGCUCCAGCGCGGCGCCGCCGCCGCCAUGCAGCGCGUGCUUGGACCCCUUGCACCCCAUCCGCCACCGCCGUGGAGAGAACCGCGCGCGGCCAAACCAAAACCUCCGUCUGCCACUCAGGAAAGAAGGAAGGAAGCGAUCGGUCGAACACGGGCCCGACCCAGUUCCCCGAACCGUUCAAACGGUAGGGAGGAACCGUUCGUUGCCGGCGCGUGCAGAGUGGAAAGGAAAGGCUGCGCGGCGCGUGCAACGGGGCCGGCGAGAUCUGUGGUGGCGUGGAGACGAGACGGGACGGGACGGAAAGCGUGGAGCGCAUAUGAAAGGGAGGUGGAUCGCGGGUACGAACGGAACGGGAGCCCGUGCGAGUUGA